GUAAUCGCCAAUUCUCCAACAUAAUAUCGAAACAUAUCACCACGUCACGAUCAUCAAACAAACACUAACAACGAAGAUUCAAACCAAACACACAACAAAUAAUCAUCCACACCCACAACAUCACAAAAAAAAAGAUUAAAAUAAAAUAAAGACUCGGUAGAAGAAAUGGACCUCGAUGAAAUUGAUUCUUGUCGAUAAUAAAGAAAUCCGAAGACCAAAAUACUCGACCGAACCUCGAUUGCGAUGAAUCCAACUCGAUAUAGGGAAAAACAGGAAACAGAUGAACCAAGACUCCAACAAACAAACAGGAACCCAAAACCUAACGCGGAUCGAACUUCGGUGAGCUCCGGUGACGGCCAAAACAGUGAUUCAAGACGGAAGCUGGAAUCGAAUAAAACAAACAGUUCCGGCUAACCAGUCGCCGGCGAACAGUGGGAGAACGGCUGGGAGAUGACGGUGGUUCAAACGGCGACGGGCUUUGCUGUUUCGCCGGUGGAACCGACUGUUGUUGACGGCUGUGGUCGCUUUUGUCGACGAUGGCCUUGCCGAUGACGGCUUUAUCCCACGAUAAGAGAUGGACAACGAAGGAGAGGUGGCGUCGGAGAUGGUGACCUCUCCGGUGAGAGGCCACGGGUUAGCCUGGGUUGGUUCGCCGCUAUUGAUGGCAGUGGCGGCGGCGCGACUGCAGAGAGGAAAGAGGAGGCUGGUUUAGCGUGGUUUGGUGGUUGUGAGGAGACGAAGAUGACGGCGAGUGUGAUGCCGGAAGAGGAAGAGCAUCCCGCCGACAGCAGCACUCAAUCGGAGCGGCGGCGAUGGCUGAUUUUCUUUUUUUUUUUUUU
This 839-nucleotide long non-coding RNA is filed under the name Capsicum annuum. RNAcentral describes it as "long non-coding RNA (CANN_LNC003966)". The record is from RNAcentral. Lineage: Eukaryota; Viridiplantae; Streptophyta; Magnoliopsida; Solanales; Solanaceae.